AUGGUUUUUAUCUGCUAUAGGAUAGGAUCGUGGUCGAUUAUGGUUGUUGGUGAGGUAAUGGCUCACCAAGCCGAUAAUCGAUAGGGGCCGUGAGAGCGGGAGCCCCGAGAUGGGUACUGAGACAACGACCCAGGCCUUACGAGGCGCAGCAGGCGCGAAACCUCCGCAAUACACGAAAGUGUGACGGGGUUACCCAAAGUGUUCAAUUUUGAACUGUGGUAGGUGAGUAAUGUUCCCUACUAGAAAGGAGAGGGCAAGGCUGGUGCCAGCCGCCGCGGUAAAACCAGCUCUUCAAGUGGUCGGGAUAAUUAUUGGGCUUAAAGUGUCCGUAGCCGGUUUAGUAAGUUCCUGGUAAAAUCGGGUAGCUUAACUAUCUAUAUGCUAGGAAUACUGCUAUACUAGAGGGCGGGAGAGGUCUGAGGUACUACAGGGGUAGGGGUGAAAUCUUAUAAUCCUUGUAGGACCACCAGUGGCGAAGGCGUCAGACUGGGACGCGCCUGACGGUGAGGGACGAAAGCCAGGGGAGCGAACCGGAUUAGAUACCCGGGUAGUCCUGGCCGUAAACGAUGCAUACUAGGUGAUGGCAUGGCCAUGAGCCAUGUCAGUGCCGUAGGGAAACCGUUAAGUGUGCCGCCUGGGAAGUACGGUCGCAAGGCUAAAACUUAAAGGAAUUGGCGGGGGAGCACCACAAGGGGUGAAGCCUGCGGUUCAAUUGGACCCAACGCCGGAAAACUUACCAGGGGAGACAGCAGUAUGACGGUCAGGUUGACGACCUUACCUAACGAGCUGAGAGGAGGUGCAUGGCCGUCGCCAGUUCGUGCCGUGAGGUAUCCUGUUAAGUCAGGCAACGAACGAGAUCCGCACCUUUAUUUGCCACCAAGAAGUCACGACUUCGUUGGGAACACUAAAGGGACCGCCGUCGAUAAGACGGAGGAAGGAGCGGGCAAAGGCAGGUCAGUAUGCCCCGAAACCCCUGGGCUACACGCGGGCUGCAAUGGUAUGAACAAUGGGCUGUGACUCCGAAAGGAGAAACCAAUCCCGAAAUCAUAUCUCAGUUGGAAUUGUCGGCUGUAACCCGCCGACAUGAACGCGGAAUCCCUAGUAAUCGUGUGUCAUCAUCGCACGGUGAAUACGUCUCUGCUCCUUGCACACACCGCCCGUCGCUCCAUCCGAGUGUACUAAAAAUGAGGUUUGGUCAGACUGGUCAUAUCGAGUUUCUAGUAUGCGA
This 1228-nucleotide ribosomal RNA is filed under the name Promethearchaeota archaeon. RNAcentral describes it as "bacterial SSU rRNA". It matches the Rfam family "Archaeal small subunit ribosomal RNA", at positions 187 to 1421 of the family's 1478-position model. The record is from RNAcentral. Lineage: Archaea; Promethearchaeati; Promethearchaeota.